This 36-nucleotide small RNA is filed under the name Arabidopsis thaliana (thale cress). Its description in RNAcentral is "ATSL016130". Lineage: Eukaryota; Viridiplantae; Streptophyta; Magnoliopsida; Brassicales; Brassicaceae. The record is from RNAcentral.
CAAGCUAAACGGAAUGUUAAUGAACGACAAGCAAGU